GGUUAAGCGACUAAGCGUACACGGUGGAUGCCCUGGCAGUCAGAGGCGAUGAAGGACGUGCUAAUCUGCGAUAAGCGUCGGUAAGGUGAUAUGAACCGUUAUAACCGGCGAUUUCCGAAUGGGGAAACCCAGUGUGUUUCGUCACACUAUCAUUAACUGAAUCCAUAGGUUAAUGAGGCGAACCGGGGGAACUGAAACAUCUAAGUACCCCGAGGAAAAGAAAUCAACCGAGAUUCCCCCAGUAGCGGCGAGCGAACGGGGAGCAGCCCAGAGCCUGAAUCAGUGUGUGUGUUAGUGGAAGCGUCUGGAAAGGCGUGCGAUACAGGGUGACAGCCCCGUACACAAAAAUGCACAUACUGUGAGCUCGAUGAGUAGGGCGGGACACGUGGUAUCCUGUCUGAAUAUGGGGGGACCAUCCUCCAAGGCUAAAUACUCCUGACUGACCGAUAGUGAACCAGUACCGUGAGGGAAAGGCGAAAAGAACCCCGGCGAGGGGAGUGAAAAAGAACCUGAAACCGUGUACGUACAAGCAGUGGGAGCCUCUUUAUGGGGUGACUGCGUACCUUUUGUAUAAUGGGUCAGCGACUUAUAUUCUGUAGCAAGGUUAACCGAAUAGGGGAGCCGAAGGGAAACCGAGUCUUAACUGGGCGUUAAGUUGCAGGGUAUAGACCCGAAACCCGGUGAUCUAGCCAUGGGCAGGUUGAAGGUUGGGUAACACUAACUGGAGGACCGAACCGACUAAUGUUGAAAAAUUAGCGGAUGACUUGUGGCUGGGGGUGAAAGGCCAAUCAAACCGGGAGAUAGCUGGUUCUCCCCGAAAGCUAUUUAGGUAGCGCCUCGUGAAUUCAUCUCCGGGGGUAGAGCACUGUUUCGGCAAGGGGGUCAUCCCGACUUACCAACCCGAUGCAAACUGCGAAUACCGGAGAAUGUUAUCACGGGAGACACACGGCGGGUGCUAACGUCCGUCGUGAAGAGGGAAACAACCCAGACCGCCAGCUAAGGUCCCAAAGUCAUGGUUAAGUGGGAAACGAUGUGGGAAGGCCCAGACAGCCAGGAUGUUGGCUUAGAAGCAGCCAUCAUUUAAAGAAAGCGUAAUAGCUCACUGGUCGAGUCGGCCUGCGCGGAAGAUGUAACGGGGCUAAACCAUGCACCGAAGCUGCGGCAGCGACGCUUAUGCGUUGUUGGGUAGGGGAGCGUUCUGUAAGCCUGUGAAGGUGUGCUGUGAGGCAUGCUGGAGGUAUCAGAAGUGCGAAUGCUGACAUAAGUAACGAUAAAGCGGGUGAAAAGCCCGCUCGCCGGAAGACCAAGGGUUCCUGUCCAACGUUAAUCGGGGCAGGGUGAGUCGACCCCUAAGGCGAGGCCGAAAGGCGUAGUCGAUGGGAAACAGGUUAAUAUUCCUGUACUUGGUGUUACUGCGAAGGGGGGACGGAGAAGGCUAUGUUGGCCGGGCGACGGUUGUCCCGGUUUAAGCGUGUAGGCUGGUUUUCCAGGCAAAUCCGGAAAAUCAAGGCUGAGGCGUGAUGACGAGGCACUACGGUGCUGAAGCAACAAAUGCCCUGCUUCCAGGAAAAGCCUCUAAGCAUCAGGUAACAUCAAAUCGUACCCCAAACCGACACAGGUGGUCAGGUAGAGAAUACCAAGGCGCUUGAGAGAACUCGGGUGAAGGAACUAGGCAAAAUGGUGCCGUAACUUCGGGAGAAGGCACGCUGAUAUGUAGGUGAAGUCCCUCGCGGAUGGAGCUGAAAUCAGUCGAAGAUACCAGCUGGCUGCAACUGUUUAUUAAAAACACAGCACUGUGCAAACACGAAAGUGGACGUAUACGGUGUGACGCCUGCCCGGUGCCGGAAGGUUAAUUGAUGGGGUCAGCGCAAGCGAAGCUCUUGAUCGAAGCCCCGGUAAACGGCGGCCGUAACUAUAACGGUCCUAAGGUAGCGAAAUUCCUUGUCGGGUAAGUUCCGACCUGCACGAAUGGCGUAAUGAUGGCCAGGCUGUCUCCACCCGAGACUCAGUGAAAUUGAACUCGCUGUGAAGAUGCAGUGUACCCGCGGCAAGACGGAAAGACCCCGUGAACCUUUACUAUAGCUUGACACUGAACAUUGAGCCUUGAUGUGUAGGAUAGGUGGGAGGCUUUGAAGUGUGGACGCCAGUCUGCAUGGAGCCGACCUUGAAAUACCACCCUUUAAUGUUUGAUGUUCUAACGUUGACCCGUAAUCCGGGUUGCGGACAGUGUCUGGUGGGUAGUUUGACUGGGGCGGUCUCCUCCUAAAGAGUAACGGAGGAGCACGAAGGUUGGCUAAUCCUGGUCGGACAUCAGGAGGUUAGUGCAAUGGCAUAAGCCAGCUUGACUGCGAGCGUGACGGCGCGAGCAGGUGCGAAAGCAGGUCAUAGUGAUCCGGUGGUUCUGAAUGGAAGGGCCAUCGCUCAACGGAUAAAAGGUACUCCGGGGAUAACAGGCUGAUACCGCCCAAGAGUUCAUAUCGACGGCGGUGUUUGGCACCUCGAUGUCGGCUCAUCACAUCCUGGGGCUGAAGUAGGUCCCAAGGGUAUGGCUGUUCGCCAUUUAAAGUGGUACGCGAGCUGGGUUUAGAACGUCGUGAGACAGUUCGGUCCCUAUCUGCCGUGGGCGCUGGAGAACUGAGGGGGGCUGCUCCUAGUACGAGAGGACCGGAGUGGACGCAUCACUGGUGUUCGGGUUGUCAUGCCAAUGGCACUGCCCGGUAGCUAAAUGCGGAAGAGAUAAGUGCUGAAAGCAUCUAAGCACGAAACUUGCCCCGAGAUGAGUUCUCCCUGACUCCUUGAGAGUCCUGAAGGAACGUUGAAGACGACGACGUUGAUAGGCCGGGUGUGUAAGCGCAGCGAUGCGUUGAGCUAACCGGUACUAAUGAACCGUGAGGCUUAACCUU
RNAcentral lists this ribosomal RNA (2903 nucleotides) under Escherichia coli. RNAcentral's name for it is "23S ribosomal RNA". It matches the Rfam family "Bacterial large subunit ribosomal RNA". The record is from RNAcentral. Lineage: Bacteria; Pseudomonadati; Pseudomonadota; Gammaproteobacteria; Enterobacterales; Enterobacteriaceae.